Long non-coding RNA from Gallus gallus (chicken), 1097 nucleotides. Lineage: Eukaryota; Metazoa; Chordata; Aves; Galliformes; Phasianidae. The record is from Ensembl.
GUUCUUGCGUUGUUUAGAUUUUCUUGGCAAACAUCGCCCUCUGCAGCAUGCCUUCUGCAUCUGCAGGAUCCUGAGCGCAAUGCGCUCCUCCGACCCUUAAUGCGCCACUGGUGAGAGACGCUGCGCCAAAAAUACACGCGCUUAUUUAUACGGUGUCUUUCAGGCAAGACCCUAACUCCGUAAUUAUUAACUGUUAUUCAUAUGGGAUCCCUACGUGUCACGAUAAACACUGUUAACACCUUUAAAGCUUAAUUUCAGGUUCAACGUGGAGUACAAUUGAAAAUUAAAGUUCACAGAACUUACAGUUUCCAAUCAGACCAGUUUUCCAAGGUCCUGUGUUAAAAACUUUUGGAGUCCCGAUAAAGAGGCUGAGAGACUCUUCUUAUAUUAAAGCAUCAUGAGAACAAUAAUGGUCAAAAUUAAAAGACUAUCCUGAUCUACAGUUUGUCCUGGUCCUACAUGGAACAGUCUGUCAAGGAGAUUUACUGCUACCAAGAGAAAAGCUACCAAACAUAAAAUCAGCAUCUCAGCAAGAGCCCUGGUACUUGUCAACAAUUCUUAGAGCUUCAUCCUUGCCUACAAAUGAGAUAUUUUUCUUUUGGGACUCAUUAAAUAGGUGAACUGUAAGUGCCAUCCUCUAUUUUGCUCCAUUGUGCAUUUCUUCCUUUGUCUCUGAUAGGAUUUCCUCAUUUCUUUCCGUGGAAAGGAGAGAGAUAGGUGAUGCGAGGCUCUGUUUACCUCUGUGUGUCUCCUUGUCACCAAGACAGAAAUUCCUUUAGUUCACAGUGGGGGUAUCAUGAUCACCACACAGGAAGCUUUGAAACCAAAGACUGCACUGGCAACUCAUCUACACACGUUUGGGGAUCUUUCAGUCUUCCUGGCCUGGGUGACGGUACUAGUGUCACAGGCUACACCUAGGCACUCCUUUUCCAGUGGCAUGAGACUCCUUACUGUAUCCUUACAGUGAAAUGUGUCUGGGAGGACUGCCUAAUCCUCCCCAGCUAUGAAGACAGGGGCUCAACUACAAGCAGCACAUGGACAAUUGAUGGAAAAUAGGUGGGAAAGUAGCUUUUUCCCACCUAUUCUGAGUCCUUUUU